AGUCACCAUAUUCCAUCAAAAUGAACAAAUCCAUCAUCCUUGUCCUGGUCCCAUGCCUUGUUGCUUUCGUCAUGGCCCAGCAGUACGGAUACCAAUCCGGAUACCAGUCAGGAUACCCAGCUUACUACGGGAAUCAACUUAACGCUUAUACACAACAGACCAGACUAUACAACUAUGGAAACGCUGCCACAGCUCAACUCAAAGGAGCCA
This 210-nucleotide long non-coding RNA is filed under the name Mytilus galloprovincialis (Mediterranean mussel). Lineage: Eukaryota; Metazoa; Mollusca; Bivalvia; Mytilida; Mytilidae. The record is from RNAcentral.